This 498-nucleotide ribosomal RNA is filed under the name uncultured bacterium. RNAcentral describes it as "partial 16S ribosomal RNA". It matches the Rfam family "Bacterial small subunit ribosomal RNA", at positions 899 to 1397 of the family's 1533-position model. The record is from RNAcentral.
ACUCAAAUGAAUUGACGGGGGCCCGCACAAGCGGCGGAGCAUGCGGCUUAAUUCGAUGCAACGCGAAGAACCUUACCUGGGCUUGACAUACACCGAAAACUCACAGAGAUGUGGGGUCCUUUUUGGGCGGUGUACAGGUGGUGCAUGGUUGUCGUCAGCUCGUGUCGUGAGAUGUUGGGUUAAGUCCCGCAACGAGCGCAACCCUUGUUCGGUGUUGCCAGCACGUAGUGGUGGGGACUCACCGGAGACUGCCGGGGUCAACUCGGAGGAAGGUGGGGAUGACGUCAAAUCAUCAUGCCCCUUAUGUCCAGGGCUGCACGCAUGCUACAAUGGCCGGUACAAACAGUGGCGAUACCGUAAGGUGGAGCGAAUCUGAAAAAGCCGGUCUCAGUUCGGAUUGGGGUCUGCAACUCGACCCCAUGAAGGUGGAGUCGCUAGUAAUCGCAGAUCAGCAACGCUGCGGUGAAUACGUUCCCGGGCCUUGCACACACCGCCCGU